Gracilinanus agilis (Agile Gracile Mouse Opossum) is the source of this 847-nucleotide long non-coding RNA. RefSeq lists it as uncharacterized. The record is from RefSeq and is a predicted model, not a curated record. The transcript is spliced from 3 exons. Lineage: Eukaryota; Metazoa; Chordata; Mammalia; Didelphimorphia; Didelphidae.
AUAGAUAGAUAGAUAGAUAGAUAGAUAGAUCUGAAUUCUGUUCCUGAAACUUACUACCUAGGUGAUCUUGGCAAGUCCCUGGACCCCUCAGAGUCUCAGCUUUCUUAUCUGUUAAAUAAGGCAAUUGAUUAUCUCUGAGGAUCUCUCAACUUUGAAUCGUAAGAUACCAAAAUUCCAUUCUCUCACUCCUUCCCUACUUCUUAUUUUUCUUCUACCUGCACAUCACCAGAAUCCUUCCUUAUUUCCUCCCCUUAGUCCUUUUUCCCCCAGUUAUGUCAUUCACAGACCCACCCCCACUCCAGCAGUGGCAGUUUUCCUAUCAUCUUGCUUUUCCCAGCAGUCUGCAGUCAAUCCUGUUCCUCAGGUCCCUCCACAGAGGUAGUUGAUUGCAUCAGCUGUGAGAAGUACUAUAUGACCUGCAAGGACCCCGUACUUUGUAAGGAUACCUUCCUACCACAGACCCUUUGGAUUGGAAGUAUUAUCAUCUUCAUCCUCUGUAUAUUCGUAUCAACCUUUGGAGCUGGGUGAGUAGUCAACUGAGUAAGGACCACCCCCAGUUCCUAACUUCUGACACACACCCCCCAAUCCAUCCAUAUCCUUAUCUUCUUUGGUCUUCCCUAUCUCCCUCCUACUUACUCCCAUUGCCCUAGUCCUCCAGUUUCAUCCUUUGCUCUGACUGGACUCAUCUCUUUCUUGUUUCUCAAUCUCAGGUUGUACUACUUCUGGUGGAGGCCCAAGAAGCUUGGGAAGGGUCCUGUAGGGCUGAAGGAGCCAGCACCAGGACCAGUACCAGCUUCAACACAGACAGCACCAUCACCACCAUCACCACCAUCACCACUAUCACCAC